UACAGAGGUCUCAAGCGUUGUUCGGAUUCAUUGGGCGUAAAGGGUGCGUAGGUGGCGGGGCAAGUUUGGUGUGAAAUCCCGGGGCUCAACCUCGGAACUGCACUGAAUACUGCCUUGCUAGAGCACUGGAGAGGGAACUGGAAUUUACGGUGUAGCAGUGAAAUGCGUAGAUAUCGUAAGGAAGACCAGUGGCGAAGGCGAGUUCCUGGACAGUUGCUGACACUGAGGCACGAAGGCUAGGGAGCAAACGGG
Molecule: ribosomal RNA, 252 nt
Filed under: uncultured bacterium
Lineage: Bacteria
Description: partial 16S ribosomal RNA
Rfam family: Bacterial small subunit ribosomal RNA
Source: RNAcentral